UGGACAACAGGUCUCUUACACGACGCACAGACUGCCAAUCAGCUAGAACAUUGUCAUCAGCACACCUAUGUAAGUGCAUGCCGAAAAUCAGGCAGCAAUCAGUUAUCACACCUCAUUGGAACUAUUCAGUUUAGAACCUAUUUCAUACGGCUGUGUGUAGACAACGUCUUCGCGCCGCCUUAAUCCCAAUACGAAGUACUUAGACAUCGGCGCGCGUUCAUUAGAAGCAGCAAUCUACAAAGGCGAACAGCAGAGUACCAGCGAGACGCUUGAAGUCGCAUUGAGUGGCGUUGAGUUCAACAAUUCAAUACGUUUCGACUGUGCUGUACGGACUUACGGGCAUAAUACGCGCGACCAGUCGGUUCAGUCAGUGAUCUUUGUCGGUUCGUGUUAGACGUGUGCGCGGUAGCUCAGAAACACUCGAGCUCGCAGACGAUAAAGAAUAAAAUAAAUAUAAAUAAAACAUUCACAAGCAACUAAAAUAUUUUAGUACCCACUACAACAACAACAAGUAGCAGCAACGAAAUCAUAUUUGUAUUUUCACUCCGACAAUACAAAUUUGAUUUUAUAUUUCGCUGCAAUAACCGUGAAAUAGAAAAAUAACAACAACAACUAACGAAAUUUCAUCGUAUUAACCAAGUCGUCGCAGUCCGUGUAGUUAGUCAAAUAAACGCGUGCAAAAAAAAAA
Long non-coding RNA from Bactrocera tryoni, 688 nucleotides. RefSeq lists it as uncharacterized. The record is from RefSeq and is a predicted model, not a curated record. NCBI's taxonomy places the organism in Eukaryota, Metazoa, Arthropoda, Insecta, Diptera, Tephritidae. The transcript has 2 exons.